AGCUUUUCAAACAGUUUUAACAGUUACUUUAGUCUGACAAAAGCCGAAUGACGAAUUAGCGCUUCCAGUCAGAGACUGAGGCUACGUCCACACGUACACGGGUAUUUUUGAAAACGGAGAUUUUCCGUUUUCGUUUUAAAAAUAAUCCCGUCCACACAUAAAGGCAGAAAUGAAGGAAAACGCUGCUAUGAACAUGCCAAAGCAGCAGGUGGCGCUAGAUUCCUAACCGUGCAGAAAUGUUGGCCAAUCAGAAGUCUAGAAGCCUCGGUGGGAAAAAGUAAACAAAGCUGGGGCAUAGAAGCAGAACCGAGUCGUAUGUGUGGACGGACAGUAACUGUGUGUAUAUGUAAGCAUUUAAACACUGCAGAGAGUAGAAUUAACAGUAUUGUAGAAAUUCAUUUCACCGAAACAAUAACGUGGCGCACAGUGUGACGCAUGCACCAGUUUAUUGUAUUUCCAGACUUGCUUUCGGCACAAUUUCCAGUGCACGCUACUCUGUUUUUUGUCAGACUUGAAAUAGCCGAAAUACCUUCACACUACGGAACUUCUAUGGCUCUUCCGUUCGACAAUCUCUCCGGCGUUGGAACCAUCAUCUGUUUUCUCUUCGGUCACGCUCGGUUGAUUUUUCUAGUCGGCACACUCAUUUCCUCCAUUACGCGCUGGCUGCUUCCCAAACAAACACACGUGCGGCUUGGCACUUGUGCUGUACGUAACAAGUCACGCGACGUGACGCUGCGGCUGUGAUUGGUUCGGCUCUGCGCUACUUAAUUUAGAUUGGCUGACCUUUUUUUUUUUUUUUUUUUUUUUAAGAGGACAAGAGCGGCGAGGUCUAUCGCGAUAGCUUAAUUUCUCUAUCGAGUAAAAGUUAUAUCGCGAUACAUAUCGUUAUCGUUCUAUCGCCCAGCUCUAAUUGUGAAAUAGUUCCACAGUUUAUUUGUACAGCACAUUCAAACACAACAGACACUGACCGGUAAGCUCAUCAACAAACAAGACUGACCAAUUAAAAC
Astatotilapia calliptera (eastern happy) is the source of this 1007-nucleotide long non-coding RNA. Lineage: Eukaryota; Metazoa; Chordata; Actinopteri; Cichliformes; Cichlidae. The record is from Ensembl.